This 426-nucleotide ribosomal RNA is filed under the name uncultured bacterium. RNAcentral describes it as "bacterial SSU rRNA". It matches the Rfam family "Bacterial small subunit ribosomal RNA", at positions 354 to 796 of the family's 1533-position model. The record is from RNAcentral.
GUGGGGAAUAUUGGACAAUGGGCGAAAGCCUGAUCCAGCAAUGCCGCGUGAGUGAUGAAGGCCCUAGGGUUGUAAAGCUCUUUUACCAGGGAUGAUAAUGACAGUACCUGGAGAAUAAGCUCCGGCUAACUCCGUGCCAGCAGCCGCGGUAAUACGGAGGGAGCUAGCGUUGUUCGGAAUUACUGGGCGUAAAGCGCGCGUAGGCGGUUUUUUAAGUCAGAGGUGAAAGCCCGGGGCUCAACCCCGGAAUUGCCUUUGAAACUGGAAAACUUGAAUCUUGGAGAGGUCAGUGGAAUUCCGAGUGUAGAGGUGAAAUUCGUAGAUAUUCGGAAGAACACCAGUGGCGAAGGCGACUGACUGGACAAGUAUUGACGCUGAGGUGCGAAAGCGUGGGGAGCAAACAGGAUUAGAUACCCCAGUUAGUCC